GGCAGUGAUGAACGAGAAUGUC
Molecule: non-coding RNA, 22 nt
Filed under: Arabidopsis thaliana (thale cress)
Lineage: Eukaryota; Viridiplantae; Streptophyta; Magnoliopsida; Brassicales; Brassicaceae
Source: RNAcentral